UAGCCUAAUUUCCAUUCCAAAAAGGAACCAUCAGUCCGGCUAAUGUGACCAGACCCCUGCACCUUCAUCUUAUUCUCCGCGUGAACUACAAACGCAAAACUAGCAAAAUCGCGUCCAACUCUAGACGCAAACCAGAGUGUGAGUAGAGCAGCCUAGCGCAUCGUCCCCUCCCAUCUCCUUAUCCUUUUGCACGGAAUCCAGGUGUCGAGAUCUCCCAUCGCCUUUGUCCUCUCUUUAGAAAUCGAAUGACUGGGAUUAUCAGUUUGUUGGAGAGGUGUACAAUUUUUCUAGCUGGCAACCUAAUCCUUUGAAGAGAAUUCGAAUUUGAAAUUCAAAAUUUAAUCGGGUUCCCCCUUUUUCUACUCUAAAUCUCCCCUUAUAAAUAUCCGCUUAUUCUUCAUUGUUUAGUUGGAGAAAAGAACUGAGAAAUUUGGGAAAAGGUUGAGGAAAAAAGAUUGGGGAUAGUUAGAGUGAGUUGGGGGAAAAAAGUGUUGAAGUUUACAGUUGGGAUUUCUUUUGAACAGUCAUAUUUAUAUUCAAGAACUUUUAUACGUUUUCUUUAAUCCUAAGUUGUGAGAGAACCUUUAUUCGAGUCUGGUUUGCAUUUCGUGGUCAGCUGCUCGAGAUUCGAACUCGUGUGGUGGAAGAGUUCGUCCCUACUCGUUGUCUCAUUUCGCUGGCCUGAGAAAGCUCCAUCCGAGUCCCUUCGGACUCCCCUCUUAGCAUAUCAUCGAGUUGAAUUUCUUCGAGUCGGCUUCUUUGUUGUUCGAGUCAAGGGAACCGACUAUCAGGGCUUAAACAUUGAUUCCAAGCCCCUGAAAUUUUGAAAACAUGCUACAUAUUUGGUAUAUACAGUGGUAUACAGAUAAUGUCUACAUGAUAUACAGGCUUAGGUGCAGUGAAUACAAGACUGAAAAUUGAAAUAUAGGUUGCAGGAGUUGAAGAGGGUUGCAUACACUUGGUAUACAGUCCUAUGCACAUGAAAAUUGGUCAAAAUAUGACCUAUAUACAACAAUAUACAUUUGUUGUAUACACAGAUGUUUGAGAGUGAAAAGGGGCCAAACUCAUCCAUUUGCAGGACAUGUUUUGGGCCAAAGGCCCAUCAAAUUUAAAAUUGGGACAAAGGGUCCAAAUUCAAAUUUCUCCCUCAUUCUAUUUAUUUAUUUAUUUGUUAUUAUGUUGCUAACAUCUUGGCUUAACUUAAUUAAUUCCCCAAAGAUAAUCAUUUCUCUUUUA
This is a long non-coding RNA of Solanum lycopersicum (tomato), 1236 nucleotides long. RefSeq lists it as uncharacterized. The record is from RefSeq and is a predicted model, not a curated record. NCBI's taxonomy places the organism in Eukaryota, Viridiplantae, Streptophyta, Magnoliopsida, Solanales, Solanaceae.